RNAcentral lists this small RNA (578 nucleotides) under Neofusicoccum australe. RNAcentral describes it as "eukaryotic LSU rRNA". The stretch from base 209 to 362 matches the Rfam family "5.8S ribosomal RNA". Lineage: Eukaryota; Fungi; Ascomycota; Dothideomycetes; Botryosphaeriales; Botryosphaeriaceae. The record is from RNAcentral.
UCCGUAGGUGAACCUGCGGAAGGAUCAUUACCGAGUUGAUUCGAGCUCCGGCUCGACUCUCCCACCCCAUGUGUACCUACCUCUGUUGCUUUGGCGGGCCGCGGUCCUCCGCACCGACCCCCGUUCGGGGGCCGGCCAGCGCCCGCCAGAGGACCACAAAACUCCAGUCAGUAAACGUCGCAGUCUGAGAAACAAGUUAAUAAACUAAAACUUUCAACAACGGAUCUCUUGGUUCUGGCAUCGAUGAAGAACGCAGCGAAAUGCGAUAAGUAAUGUGAAUUGCAGAAUUCAGUGAAUCAUCGAAUCUUUGAACGCACAUUGCGCCCCUUGGUAUUCCGAGGGGCAUGCCUGUUCGAGCGUCAUUUCAACCCUCAAGCUCUGCUUGGUAUUGGGCUCCGUCCUCCGCGGACGCGCCUCGAAGACCUCGGCGGUGGCGUCUUGCCUCAAGCGUAGUAGAAAACACCUCGCUUUGGAGCGCACGGCGUCGCCCGCCGGACGAACCUUUGAAUUUUUCUCAAGGUUGACCUCGGAUCAGGUAGGGAUACCCGCUGAACUUAAGCAUAUCAAUAAGCGGAGGA